RNAcentral lists this ribosomal RNA (253 nucleotides) under uncultured bacterium. RNAcentral describes it as "partial 16S ribosomal RNA". It matches the Rfam family "Bacterial small subunit ribosomal RNA", at positions 524 to 776 of the family's 1533-position model. The record is from RNAcentral.
UACAGAGGCCUCGAGCGUUAUGCGGAAUCACUGGGCUUAAAGCGUGUGUAGGCGGAUUGCUAAGUACCUUGUGAAAUCCCACGGCUUAACCGUGGAACUGCUUGGUAUACUGGCUGUCUUGAGCCACUUAGGGGCGACCGGAACAAACGGUGGAGCGGUGAAAUGCGUAGAUAUCGUUUGGAACGCCAAAGGUGAAAACAGGUCGCUGGGAGUGUGCUGACGCUGAGACACGAAAGCCAGGGGAGCAAACGGG